GGGGAUGCGUGGUUUCGACAGGGCAGGAGAGCGAUCCGUUGCGAGUCGGGGGUGCUGUUCACCCCGUGAACCGAGCAGCAGUCGGAUAACUGCCGACAACUCUUACGCCCUCGCUGCCUAAGCAGUGAGCGUCCCGCCGGUCCCCCCUCCGCGGACCGGUGAGGACGAGAGAGCGGAGGUGCGGCCCACCGAUCGGCCGGUGGGUGGGCCUAAGACAACCGGCCUGGCGGGAUCGAGAGCGCGUCGGUGCGCGCUCGGGACCGCGAGAUACAAACCGCCGACGAGGCUUCGUGGACGCGGAUCGUUCGAUGGCUCUGGACGGGGAGUUCGACCCUCCCCCAUCUCCACAG
This 350-nucleotide transfer-messenger RNA is filed under the name Chloroflexota bacterium. It matches the Rfam family "transfer-messenger RNA". From Rfam's summary of the family: Bacterial tmRNA, also known as 10Sa RNA or SsrA, is named for its dual tRNA and mRNA-like properties. Its role is to liberate the mRNA from a stalled ribosome. The record is from RNAcentral. Lineage: Bacteria; Bacillati; Chloroflexota.